RNAcentral lists this ribosomal RNA (494 nucleotides) under Pseudomonas sp. RNAcentral's name for it is "bacterial SSU rRNA". It matches the Rfam family "Bacterial small subunit ribosomal RNA", at positions 11 to 500 of the family's 1533-position model. The record is from RNAcentral. Lineage: Bacteria; Pseudomonadati; Pseudomonadota; Gammaproteobacteria; Pseudomonadales; Pseudomonadaceae.
GUUUGAUCCUGGCUCAGAUUGAACGCUGGCGGCAGGCCUAACACAUGCAAGUCGAGCGGAUGACAGGAGCUUGCUCCUGAAUUCAGCGGCGGACGGGUGAGUAAUGCCUAGGAAUCUGCCUGGUAGUGGGGGACAACGUUUCGAAAGGAACGCUAAUACCGCAUACGUCCUACGGGAGAAAGUGGGGGAUCUUCGGACCUCACGCUAUCAGAUGAGCCUAGGUCGGAUUAGCUAGUUGGUGAGGUAAUGGCUCACCAAGGCGACGAUCCGUAACUGGUCUGAGAGGAUGAUCAGUCACACUGGAACUGAGACACGGUCCAGACUCCUACGGGAGGCAGCAGUGGGGAAUAUUGGACAAUGGGCGAAAGCCUGAUCCAGCCAUGCCGCGUGUGUGAAGAAGGUCUUCGGAUUGUAAAGCACUUUAAGUUGGGAGGAAGGGUUGUAGAUUAAUACUCGGCAAUUUUGACGAAACCGACAGAAUAGGCACCGGCUAA